Molecule: long non-coding RNA, 671 nt
Organism: Fukomys damarensis (Damara mole-rat)
Lineage: Eukaryota; Metazoa; Chordata; Mammalia; Rodentia; Bathyergidae
Exons: 3
Source: RefSeq, a predicted model, not a curated record
CGUGGGUGUUGGAAGCUCAGGUACGAUGCCCUCUCCAGGCAGCUUGUGCGGGGUCCAGCACACAGCAGAUAAACGAGCUUCUCUCCAUCACCACGUGGCUUGGUGUACACCUACACCCAUGGUGCAAAGUGCGAUGUGAACCUGAACUUGCAUCCAUAGCAGAAAACUUCCAAGGGAAGAACCUGCUGUCUGCAUCGGGAUGAGCAGGACCAAGACAAGCGGUCUGAGACCACAGCCAGCUUACCGAGGACCUCAGCGAGGACUCUGUGUGGCCCAUCCACUCAGUGACACCACUCCCGGCCCAGCUUGGUGUCAUCGAUUCUCAGAUGGGAAGCGGAGAUGUCCCAGGAAACACUUUGUCUGUGAGAAGGGAGGAAACGGCCAUUUCCAGGGAACUGGACAGGACUCCUUUUGUAUUUUCCACACAGUACAUGUUAUUAUCAAUCUUGAAAUUCGUCAUCUUUCUUCCUUUUUGCUAGACCAUUAAUAGCUGCUUUUCAAAAUUGCUUUCUUAGUCUGAAUCGCACCAGCAGUGAGCUACCAUUUAAUGAGUACUUGCUAUGUUCCAGGAACUGGCUAAGUGCUUUCAUGGAUGAUCUCAUUCAAUGCUCCUCACAACCCCAUGAAGCGCAUACUAUUAUUAGCCUCAUUUUAAAUGAGGAAACUGAGGC